This 691-nucleotide ribosomal RNA is filed under the name uncultured Eubacteriales bacterium. RNAcentral describes it as "bacterial SSU rRNA". It matches the Rfam family "Bacterial small subunit ribosomal RNA", at positions 48 to 761 of the family's 1533-position model. Lineage: Bacteria; Bacillati; Bacillota; Clostridia; Eubacteriales. The record is from RNAcentral.
GGGAUUUAGUAAACGGAAGCUUCGGUGGAAGAUUACUAAUGAGAGUGGCGAACGGGUGAGUAACGCGUGAGCAACCUGCCUAUGACAGUGGGAUAGCCUCGGGAAACCGGGAUUAAUACCGCAUAAAAUCGUAGAAACACAUGUUUUAACGGUCAAAGAUUUAUCGGUCAUAGAUGGGCUCGCGUCUGAUUAGCUAGUUGGUGAGAUAACAGCCCACCAAGGCGACGAUCAGUAGCCGGUCUGAGAGGAUGAACGGCCACAUUGGAACUGAGACACGGUCCAAACUCCUACGGGAGGCAGCAGUGGGGAAUAUUGCACAAUGGGGGAAACCCUGAUGCAGCGACGCCGCGUGAACGAAGAAGGUAUUCGUAUCGUAAAGUUCUGUCCUAUGGGAAGAUAAUGACAGUACCAUAGAAGAAAGCUCCGGCUAAAUACGUGCCAGCAGCCGCGGUAAUACGUAUGGAGCGAGCGUUGUCCGGAAUUAUUGGGCGUAAAGGGUACGCAGGCGGUUUAAUAAGUCGAAUGUUAAAGAUCGGGGCUCAACCCCGUAAAGCAUUGGAAACUGAUAAACUUGAGUAGUGGAGAGGAAAGUGGAAUUCCUAGUGUAGUGGUGAAAUACGUAGAUAUUAGGAGGAAUACCAGUAGCGAAGGCGACUUUCUGGACACAAACUGACGCUGAGGUACGAAAGCG